RNAcentral lists this ribosomal RNA (253 nucleotides) under uncultured bacterium. RNAcentral describes it as "partial 16S ribosomal RNA". It matches the Rfam family "Bacterial small subunit ribosomal RNA", at positions 524 to 776 of the family's 1533-position model. The record is from RNAcentral.
UACGGAGGGGGCAAGUGUUACUCAUAGUGACUGGGCGUAAAGGGUGCGUAGACGGCUCUGUAAGUUAUAAAGGAAAAGUAAGUUCAGUUAAUUUUACAUCUUUGUAGAACUACAUUGCUUGAGUAAGUAGGAAGUUAGUGGUACUCUGUGUGUAGAGGUGAUAUUCAGAGAUACACAGAGGACCACCAAAGGCGAAGGCAACUAACUACUACUUUUCUGACGUUGAGGCACUGAAGCGUGGGGAGCAAAUCGG